CUCACUGACGGCGAGCGACUUCGUCGAAUUUUCAAAUUACCUGUCCAGGGACAGGAAGUACCCGAGGCAUUGUGGUCAGCUGAAGGAGUUCGACGUAGCAAGCGACAGGAAGUUCUUUCGUGUGACUUUUAAAAGUAAUGACAGAUACGACGGAACAGGAUUUAACGCCAGCUACGUGUUUGUGGACGAAGAAGGGAAUUAUACAACAAAGCCACCAACGAGUAACGCGUCAACGUUAAAAGGCGUAUCGCUGCUGGUGUCGCUGUUCACGAGUCUGCUGCUCGGUCGAGUUUCGCUUUAAUUACGAUCGGUAACUAGUUGGAGGGGUCUUGGCUCAAUUUACAACGAACUGUAACUCCGAGGAGCCGGAACCAUCCGAAAUCUCCCAUCAUCAUCCGGCAUGCCGGGGAAAGUGGCCACAUUGUUUGCGCAGCGCAAGAUGGCCGACAGCGGAGCCGAUCCUCCGACGACACGGGACACCAUAAUUCGUUUAUUAGGUUCAUCGACGCGCCGACAGACACGAGGCCGAUCCGAUCUCUCCGUCGUCGAGCGACCACCCCGCGGAGAAAAAUAUUGGCAAUAAUGUACGCGAACUCGCCCCGAACGGGACAAUUCCCGUGGAGAAAAUCUAAAAGACGAUCGAGCAUCCGGACUGCGUUUCAUUGAAGUACCUUACACCGAGGAAUAUCGAGUUUUCUUUUAUCCGUUCGAGCCCGAUUCAAAGACGACGGCGUCGAUCACUCGCGGACGUUCGGUCGAAGACGCGAACAAUAUAACGACGCGCGCCGUCGUCGGGAACGUUGACUCUGGGAACGUUGUCGUUCAUUCUCGGCAACGAUUGUUCGACGGAGACACGCGGUUCAAGGGAAACGCUCAUUCGUAGAUCGAUCACCACGUAGACAUUCCUUCGCGUCUUACGAUUAAUUAACGGCGUUCAAUUAGGUAGCGUAAUGGAAUCUCGCGUUCUUUUUAGGACUAACGUUACUUCCUUUCGCGUAGGCAAUUUCCCGGAUUCGCUCUUGGUUUCGCCGGGAACGUAUACUUUCGAUUGCCCGUCUCACCGAUAGACAUCUAUUUUCCAAACGUUCGUUUCCUUCCUGCGCGUUUUUACGACCGGAGGAACUUGCUUACUACCGACCAAAGUGUACCGUACACGUUUCACUGAGAAGCAUCCGCAGAACUGUUUCGUUUUCGAGUCGAGGAUCACCCUACUAGUGUACUUAAUUAAUCUAACGAACACGUGCGAGACGAGAGAAAGAAAGAGAGAAAGAGAGAGAGUGAAAAAGGAUGUUACGCGUGCUGUGUGUUGUAAGCAUUUGUUGUAACGCGAAGCGUUCCGAAGCCGAUGGAUCACGGACGUGUUUCUCUCCUUGUACGGAAACGAAUUUAUUAAAUCGCAAUGAAAAAACUCUGUCCGUUCGACGAAUCACUGGAAAGUCAGGCGUACAAUGAACGAUCUUAACGUGACACGAAAAUUUGCCUUCCUGAGUACACGAGAUCCGACACGGACCCAUUUAUUAUUACAUCCUCUAUACGACUGUGAUGUUUCCAUUCCUUCUUAGUUCAUUAGAAAAACGUAUACAAGUCUGAUUAUGCGGGAGAACAAACAAAAAGAAUAAUAGAUACUCGUGUGACGAACUAAACGAAAAAGACAAAAAAAAAGAAAGAAGAGAAAUGACGAACGAACGGAUCGCCGACCGAACGAACGAACGGCUGCGAACAGCCGUUACGGGGAACGCAGGAGGAUUCAACGACGUUCGAGGUUUUGAUACGUUCGAAUUAACGAUGAGGGGUGUCGUAAGCCGAGCAAAGACGCGUAAUUAGCCGGACUCCGAUCCGGAGAUAUCCGCGCGUGUACCCGAAAGUUUCGAGCAUUCGAUUUGAAGACGGUCGCUUCAGCGAAUAAGUUGCUCGAGAACUAGUGGAUAAUUGCGCGUGCGAGUCCGUUAGAGAUGUUGUUCUGUUAUAGUUUGAACGAUAUAUUUAUUACGUAGAGAAUAACAUAGCGAGAACGUUGUGUAACGAGAGUUCGAGUGGUGCUCCAAAUUUUUUAGUUGUCGAUCCGAGGAGAAAGAGCGCGACGAUGUUAACGAUCGAUCGAACGGACAAGUACGGUACCACCGACCACCGUGCCGAGAGUUUGAAGUAAUUUUCUGAAGCCGUCUCGAUCGCCGAAAAGGAACCCUGUAACAUAAUAAACAUUCACCGAGAACUUUGUACAAUAUUACUUUUCGAGCGGUCCAAGCUGCUCGAGCUGAACCAGCUGCGACGCUGGCAGCGUUGUCGGGCGCGUAAAUAUGUCCGCGUCGAAAGUUCGCUCGCUCGAGAUGCAAUCGAUAAAGAUAAAUGUUUCACGAUCGAUGUAAAAAGGCCGCGUGGAUGCAUAAAAAGAGCUGCAUCAACUCGCCGGUCAACGAGAGAGAGAGAGAGAGAGAGAGAGAGAGAGAGAGA
Megalopta genalis is the source of this 2451-nucleotide non-coding RNA. The record is from RefSeq and is a predicted model, not a curated record. NCBI's taxonomy places the organism in Eukaryota, Metazoa, Arthropoda, Insecta, Hymenoptera, Halictidae.